AUUGAACGCUGGCGGCAGGCCUAACACAUGCAAGUCGAGCGGAUGAAGGGAGCUUGCUCCUGGAUUCAGCGGCGGACGGGUGAGUAAUGCCUAGGAAUCUGCCUGGUAGUGGGGGAUAACGUCCGGAAACGGGCGCUAAUACCGCAUACGUCCUGAGGGAGAAAGUGGGGGAUCUUCGGACCUCACGCUAUCAGAUGAGCCUAGGUCGGAUUAGCUAGUUGGUGGGGUAAAGGCCUACCAAGGCGACGAUCCGUAACUGGUCUGAGAGGAUGAUCAGUCACACUGGAACUGAGACACGGUCCAGACUCCUACGGGAGGCAGCAGUGGGGAAUAUUGGACAAAGGGCGAAAGCCUGAUCCAGCCAUGCCGCGUGUGUGAAGAAGGUCUUCGGAUUGUAAAGCACUUUAAGUUGGGAGGAAGGGCAGUAAGUUAAUACCUUGCUGUUUUGACGUUACCAACUGAAUAAGCACCGGCUAACUUCGUG
This 484-nucleotide ribosomal RNA is filed under the name uncultured bacterium. RNAcentral describes it as "partial 16S ribosomal RNA". It matches the Rfam family "Bacterial small subunit ribosomal RNA", at positions 30 to 507 of the family's 1533-position model. The record is from RNAcentral.